AAAUACAAAUCGUUUUUGUAUUCUGAGUCACAGCACACACACACACACACACACACACAAAAUAAUAAAAACCAAAGAGAUUUUCUAGACAAAACGCUGCAGACUUUAUGUCUUCUAAAGACCUGAACGGGGGAUCUUUCCGCCCGGCUUUCAUUCAUAAAUUGCUCAACGAUAUUGCCCUGUAGCUGCUGGAACAAAAGAGGUCGUCACACCUAUUUCUCUUUUUUCUUUCAUUUUUUUUAGUUUGUUUGGAAAUCAAUAUCUAAACAAUGCAAGCAGCAGCGGCGGCCCUCGACAAAUUUUCUGGCAGCCUAAUAAAAAGACGAGCAAGUAUGGUCAAGCGGAGAGUUCACGACUAGGAGAUACCUUAGUUUAAUGAAGUCGGGGCAAAAGGGGUUUGCGUAGGUUGGAUAGAUAAGAGGAGGGUCCUGAAUAUCUGGAAAGUAUUGUGAUAUUUGUCGGAUAUUUAAAGUAAAAAUCAACUAAUUUUGCAUAAGACUUAAAAAAUUCAUAUACCAAAUUUUGUAACUGAAGUUCCUCAUGUCACUCAGAUCGGAUGGAUAUUUCUCUUAUAGAUGGAAUGGAUUAGUUAAGCACAAGACCUUAACUCGAUUCAUCAAGAAUAUGCUAGACACAGUAAAACUAAAAGAAUUUUCAGCUAAUGCAGAUUUCCAUAACGCAAUCAUGCCUCCCUUUAACUGAUUUGAUGACUACAGGGUGUACAAAAUUUCUUUCACCAACAACAAGCAGAAGUUUUGACACUUUUUAUGGCCACGAAAAGUUUUGUGCGUGUAUUACGAGCAUUAUAAACUUAGGAGGCAGCUCCGACAAAUGAGCCCGCCCGUGUGGCACAGCUCGCCGGAGUGCGAGUGCGGGUACGGGGCAGAUCUUGGACCGCCGCGUCGCAUUGUCUAUGGAUGCUGGUCAUCUGUCUGAGAGCGAGAGCAGAGCCAAUGAUUCGAUUUGAUACGAUUGGAGUUCCAUUUCAAGCAACUCAUUUGCAUGAAAAUUUGUUGAAAACACAUUUAACUGAAAUCGAAUGCUUUUGAAAAUACGUUGAAACGGUAAUUUGUUGGCCAGUUUAGAUGUGUUAUUAGCAGCGUUUAUAUGCAAGUUACGCCCAAAACGCGACAGAGAAAUAAUAAUAAUAAUAAUAUUAAUAAUAAUAAACACGAUACGAUAUCCAGAUA
Drosophila novamexicana is the source of this 1190-nucleotide long non-coding RNA. RefSeq lists it as uncharacterized. Lineage: Eukaryota; Metazoa; Arthropoda; Insecta; Diptera; Drosophilidae. The transcript has 2 exons. The record is from RefSeq and is a predicted model, not a curated record.